UACGUAGGGGGCGAGCGUUGUCCGGAUUUAUUGGGUGUAAAGAGCUCGUAGGCGGUUUGGCAAGUCGGAUGUGAAAUCUCCAGGCUCAACCUGGAGGGGUCAUUCGAAACUGCUAUGACUAGAGUUCGGUAGAGGAGUGUGGAAUUCCUGGUGGAGCGGUGAAAUGCGCAGAGAUCAGGAGGAACACCCGUAGCGAAGGCGGCACUCUGGGCCGAUACUGACGCUGAGGAGUGAAAGCGUGGGGAGCGAACAGG
This 254-nucleotide ribosomal RNA is filed under the name uncultured bacterium. RNAcentral's name for it is "partial 16S ribosomal RNA". It matches the Rfam family "Bacterial small subunit ribosomal RNA", at positions 524 to 776 of the family's 1533-position model. The record is from RNAcentral.